UACAGAGGCCUCGAGCGUUAAUCGGAGUCACUGGGCUUAAAGGGCGCGUAGGCGAUCCGACAAGUCUGGUGUGAAAGCCCACAUGUUAACUGUGGAAGUGCAUUAGAAACUGUUGGAUUUGAGUUCAGGAGAGGAAAGCAGAAUUCCCGGUGUAGCGGUGAAAUGCGUAGAGAUCGGGAGGAAUACCAGUGGCGAAGGCGGCUUUCUGGACUGACACUGACGCUGAGGCGCGAAAGCCAGGGGAGCAAACGGG
This 253-nucleotide ribosomal RNA is filed under the name uncultured prokaryote. RNAcentral's name for it is "partial 16S ribosomal RNA". It matches the Rfam family "Bacterial small subunit ribosomal RNA", at positions 524 to 776 of the family's 1533-position model. The record is from RNAcentral.